UGUGCGGAAGGGAUAAGUGCUGAAAGCAUCUAAGCAUGAAGCCCCCCUCAAGAUGAGAUUUCCCAUAGCGUAAGCUAGUAAGAUCCCUGAAAGAUGAUCAGGUUGAUAGGUUCGAGGUGGAAGCAUGGUGACAUGUGGAGCUGACGAAUACUAAUAGAUCGAGGACUUAACCAU
This 174-nucleotide ribosomal RNA is filed under the name Bacillus cereus. RNAcentral describes it as "partial 23S ribosomal RNA". It matches the Rfam family "Bacterial large subunit ribosomal RNA", at positions 2752 to 2925 of the family's 2925-position model. The record is from RNAcentral. Lineage: Bacteria; Bacillati; Bacillota; Bacilli; Caryophanales; Bacillaceae. RNAcentral also lists the same sequence under 2 other names.